Molecule: ribosomal RNA, 255 nt
Filed under: uncultured bacterium
Lineage: Bacteria
Description: partial 16S ribosomal RNA
Rfam family: Bacterial small subunit ribosomal RNA
Source: RNAcentral
UACAGAGGUCUCAAGCGUUGUUCGGAUUCAUUGGGCGUAAAGGGUGCGUAGGCGGCGCGGUAAGUCGGGUGUGAAAUCUCGGGGCUUAACUCCGAAACUGCAUUCGAUACUGCCGUGCUUGAGGACUGGAGAGGAGACUGGAAUUUACGGUGUAGCGGUGAAAUGCGUAGAUAUCGUAAGGAAGACCAGUGGCGAAGGCGGGUCUCUGGACAGUUCCUGACGCUGAGGCACGAAGGUCAGGGGGAGCAAACGGGG